This 256-nucleotide ribosomal RNA is filed under the name uncultured bacterium. RNAcentral describes it as "partial 16S ribosomal RNA". It matches the Rfam family "Bacterial small subunit ribosomal RNA", at positions 524 to 776 of the family's 1533-position model. The record is from RNAcentral.
UACGUAGGGUGCAAGCGUUAUCCGGAAUUAUUGGGCGUAAAGAGCUCGUAGGCGGUUUGUCGCGUCUGCCGUGAAAGUCCGGGGCUCAACUCCGGAUCUGCGGUGGGUACGGGCAGACUAGAGUGAUGUAGGGGAGACUGGAAUUCCUGGUGUAGCGGUGAAAUGCGCAGAUAUCAGGAGGAACACCGAUGGCGAAGGCGGUUUCCUGGAGCCCACUUGACGCUGAGACGGCGAAAAGCUGGGGGGAGCAAACGGG